GGGGCUGACAUGGUUUUGACAGCAUGAGGGGUGGUAUGCAAGCAUGCAGGAUGUGGUGACGCGUUCCUUGAACAGUGUUAUAAAACAAUAACUGGCGAAUCUAAUUACGCUCUCGCUGCUUAAUUAAUCUCAGAUUAAUGAGCUUUAUCCAGGCACAUGUGCCGGGACGGGACGUCUCCCGGGCGGUCAGGCCCUGAUCCAACCCGAUACGGAGGCGCACGCAAUUCGGGGCUAGUCUGAUGAGGGUCCCUCUCUGAAGGCGAAACACUUAGGGACUAAGGGCAUUUUAGGUUGUUCUGCAGCUGGGAUGCCACGAAAAUCAAGCAGGACUAAGCAUGUAGAAAACAUAUGGUCUCCAUGUUUGGACGCGGGUUCGACUCCCGCCAGCUCCACAA
Molecule: transfer-messenger RNA, 395 nt
Filed under: Bacteroidales
Lineage: Bacteria; Pseudomonadati; Bacteroidota; Bacteroidia
Also listed under: 1 other name
Description: LD21 sp012517605 Standard tmRNA
Rfam family: transfer-messenger RNA
About the family: Bacterial tmRNA, also known as 10Sa RNA or SsrA, is named for its dual tRNA and mRNA-like properties. Its role is to liberate the mRNA from a stalled ribosome.
Source: RNAcentral